AGGAAUAUUUUGUUGAUGUUUGACCAUCAAAAUCUUAAAAAUAAAGAAGUUGUCUAAAAAUGUGCUACAAUACGAUUAUAGUAUAAUGGGCAUGUUCCAAAAAAUAUAAAUUCGCAAAUAAAUCAUUGUAUUGCAUAGAUUAAGUCUUCAUUACUUACAAUACAUAGGAAAUUAGGAAAAAUGCCAUGAUAUCAUUUUAAAAAUUAAAUUAUAAUUUCAAACUUGAACAGUCCCGGUUGAGUUGUGACGUACAUAGCCUUCACCAAUCACGUUUCAGAUCGUAGAAAGGGAAGUUUCAUAUCAUAUGUUGGUAUGCCUGGCUCACGCGUAUCGGGCGCAGCCAUUUUAGAUUUUGUUAUUAUUUUUCUUCGUGCUUUUCAGUUCAGCGGUAAAUUUUCUUGGUUAUAACUUUUAAUUUUCGUAGAAAGGGAAGUUUCAUAUCAUAUGUUGGUAUGCCUGGCUCACGCGUAUCGGGCGCAGCCAUUUUAGAUUUUGUUAUUAUUUUUCUUCGUGCUUUUCAGUUCAGCGGUAAAUUUUCUUGGUUAUAACUUUUAAUUUUAUCUAAAUGGGCUCAAAAGUAUGAAAAAACUUUUUUGGAUCAUUUUCGAAUGGUGACGGAGUAUAUGGUGGACAGUUUUUAUAUAGACAAUUUAAAAUACUUGUGCUGAUAUAAAGAAGUUAAAAUAUCAAGAGCAUAGAGUGAAUCAUAAUGAUAACAGUUCGAUUGGAUACGUUCAAUAAAAAGAGGGCUUCUGUACAAUCAAACAAAAAGUACACCUGAACAUUAGGUGACUGCAAGGGUAAAAGUGUACAGAAAGUGGAGCGAACUAAAUUUUUAAGCUGUGCAGCUAACACUGGCGGCAUGUAAACAUUAUGUCAUACAUAACAAAUAAAAUCAAGAAAGGUACCACGGCUAUAAUUUAUGUAGAGUGAACGAAGAUAACAUCUUACUUUCUAGAAAUCUUAAUUGCCAAUCUUCUCAUAAUAUUUAUAUUUUAUGUUCUUGUAGCGGGUUAAUUGUAAAUUGACUGCCCUGAUAUUCAGAAGU
This is a long non-coding RNA of Sitophilus oryzae (rice weevil), 1048 nucleotides long. RefSeq lists it as uncharacterized. The record is from RefSeq and is a predicted model, not a curated record. The transcript is spliced from 3 exons. Lineage: Eukaryota; Metazoa; Arthropoda; Insecta; Coleoptera; Curculionidae.